Panicum virgatum (switchgrass) is the source of this 107-nucleotide small nucleolar RNA. The record is from RefSeq and is a predicted model, not a curated record. Lineage: Eukaryota; Viridiplantae; Streptophyta; Magnoliopsida; Poales; Poaceae.
AUGUCGUGGUGUGGGCAUGCUGCAAUGUAUUCCUGAAGGCGUUCCCAAGCUUCCGAGACUAUUUUGUCCUGGAGUUGUUGAAAACUAGAAAUCCUGUUCCGAAGGGU